GACGUAGGGCGCAAGCGUUGUCCGGAUUUAUUGGGCGUAAAGAGCUCGUAGGCGGCUUGUCGCGUCGACUGUGAAAGCCCGCGGCUUAACCGUGGGACUGCAGUCGAUACGGGCAGGCUCGAGUUCGGUAGGGGAGACUGGAAUUCCUGGUGUAGCGGUGAAAUGCGCAGAUAUCAGGAGGAACACCUGCGGCGAAGGCGGGUUGCUGGGCCGACACUGACGCUGAGGCGCGAAAGCUAGGGGAGCGAACGGG
Molecule: ribosomal RNA, 253 nt
Filed under: uncultured bacterium
Lineage: Bacteria
Description: partial 16S ribosomal RNA
Rfam family: Bacterial small subunit ribosomal RNA
Source: RNAcentral